RNAcentral lists this long non-coding RNA (626 nucleotides) under Homo sapiens (human). RNAcentral's name for it is "HSALNT0407429". Lineage: Eukaryota; Metazoa; Chordata; Mammalia; Primates; Hominidae. The record is from RNAcentral.
CUUUUUGGAGAGCUCCCUUUUGCCCUACCCUUUUGAUUGCGCUCUGUCUCUCUCCCCCAUCUCUCCACCUCCUCUCUCCUUUCUCCCUCCCUCUCUCCCUCUCUCUCUUUCCUUUUUUCUUUCUUUCUUUCUUUUCUCUCUCUCUCUCCCUCCUUUCUUUCUUUCUUUCUUUCUUUCUUUCUUUCUUUCUUUCUUUCUUUCUUUCUUUCCAUUCUUUCCAUUCUUUCUUUUCUUCCUUCCUUUCCUUUUGUGGAAAAAGUAGCCGUUCUUUAUAAGAAUAAAAUCACGUAAGUAAUUAAUUGGAAAUGACCUUAGCUGAUCUAAAGAUUCUAAAUCCAAGCUCUGUGUAAACAACUGAUAUAUGUUUUCUUUCAUUUUCAGAUCCUUUGCCUUUUCACUUUCUCCCUCCAUCUUCCUCCCUCUCUCUUGUACCCUCAGAUCGCCACGCUUUGGACCUCCCACGAAUGGUUUGAACCUGAGGCAUGAAUUGAGCUUGACUCCCUUGAGGGAGAGUUGCGAGAGGUGCUUACCAGAGUGGAGGAGGGUCAACAAACACAUCUAAAAGACAAAGACUGCAUCAGAAUUAGUGAUAUCCCCAGAUGACUAUGAAUCCAUGUGAAGAUAGU